GCCCUUAUAGCUUAAUGGUAAAGUGCUCGCGCUUCAAAAGGCUUUGACCGCGGGUGAUUCGAGGUUCAAGUCCUUGUAAGGGCA
Non-coding RNA from Endogone sp. FLAS-F59071, 84 nucleotides. NCBI's taxonomy places the organism in Eukaryota, Fungi, Mucoromycota, Endogonomycetes, Endogonales, Endogonaceae. The record is from the annotation of a GenBank genome assembly.